Mycena latifolia is the source of this 94-nucleotide non-coding RNA. Lineage: Eukaryota; Fungi; Basidiomycota; Agaricomycetes; Agaricales; Mycenaceae. The record is from the annotation of a GenBank genome assembly.
GGCCUGGUGGUGUAACGGUAACACGUCUGCUUUACAUAAAGAAAUUCCGAGUCCAGUUUGGCAGGGGAUCCUUGUUCGACUCAAGGUCAGACCA